UAUUGAGUUGGCCAAAAACUUCAUUUGGGUUUUUCUGUAACAUCUUAAGGAAAAACUCAAACAAACUUUUUUGGCCAACCCAAUA
This 85-nucleotide microRNA precursor is filed under the name Ovis aries (sheep). Its description in RNAcentral is "miRNA (ENSOARG00000024502.1)". The record is from RNAcentral. Lineage: Eukaryota; Metazoa; Chordata; Mammalia; Artiodactyla; Bovidae.